ACCUAUGCUUGAUAAACAUUGUUGUCCUUGGUAACAACGUAUCAUUUGAUCGCGAACAAGUUUAAGGACUAAACGACAAAUCCUCCUUUGUCGAGUCUAAAUAGUCCUAAGGACUUCACCACAACACAGGAGUUCAUUAGAAGAUGAAACAAUUUGUGAUAAAAAAUAUUAAAAUAUUUUUUAUUUAUUUAUAAUUCAUAUACUAA
This 206-nucleotide long non-coding RNA is filed under the name Elaeis guineensis (African oil palm). RNAcentral's name for it is "long non-coding RNA (EGUI_LNC064050)". Lineage: Eukaryota; Viridiplantae; Streptophyta; Magnoliopsida; Arecales; Arecaceae. The record is from RNAcentral.